This 479-nucleotide ribosomal RNA is filed under the name uncultured fungus. Its description in RNAcentral is "eukaryotic LSU rRNA". The stretch from base 119 to 272 matches the Rfam family "5.8S ribosomal RNA". Lineage: Eukaryota; Fungi. The record is from RNAcentral.
CGUCGCAUGACCUUGUCCAAAAAAAGUCUUUUGAACUUUUUGGCUAGUGCCCGUCAUUAGCCCCUUUAAAUUCUUGAUAAAUUAUGAUGUCUGAGGUUACAAAACUUAAUAGUUUAAAAACUUUCAACAACGGAUCUCUUGGUUCUGGCAUCGAUGAAGAACGCAGCGAAAUGCGAUAAGUAAUGCGAAUUGCAGAAUUCAGUGAGUCAUCGAAUCUUUGAACGCACAUUGCGCCCUUUAGUAUUCUGAAGGGCAUGCCUGUUCGAGCGUCAUUAUCACUAUUCAAGCCCGGCUUGCUGUUGGACACUUUGUCGGUUAAAGACAUGUCCAAAGAUAAUGACGGUGUCUUUUGGACCCUAGAUGCAACGAGCUUUAACCAGCACGCAUUUUAGUUUAACCAUCAGACCCGGUUCUUGUUUUUAAACCAAUUUUUUAGGUUUGUACCUGGGUAUCGGAUAGAAUACCCGCCUGAACCUUAA